CAAACCGGAACUUCAAAUGUCAAACAAACUGAAUCAAUCAAGAAGGGCAUUAUAAUACCAAAGAGAGGAACCUGAACUCUCCGUUUCUGCAACUUUCUAGUCCUCGUACUUCGACCCAUUCUAGAAGAACAAUCAAAUUAUCAAUAUCUCUACUCUUCACCCCCCCCCCUCCUCUCUUUUGCAGAGUUGGAGGAAGCGUAUGGCGCAACUGAAAACCUGUGAAGCCUUCGUUUCUAAAUGGGUCGAAGGAAGAGCAAUUUAAAGCCUUUCUGAAAAUACCUUUUCACGAAACGUUACCAAGAAAAGGUUGUGGGCUGAUAUCUGGGGAGUUUGCUUAUACUCCCAAAAGCGACCUGAACCAUAGGG
Long non-coding RNA from Macadamia integrifolia, 366 nucleotides. RefSeq lists it as uncharacterized. The record is from RefSeq and is a predicted model, not a curated record. The transcript is spliced from 2 exons. NCBI's taxonomy places the organism in Eukaryota, Viridiplantae, Streptophyta, Magnoliopsida, Proteales, Proteaceae.